CGCAGUAAAGUAGUCGGAAUAUCCCUCCAGUGUGUCAACAGAGUCGGAGCAGGCAGUAGUGAAGUCUGCUGUAUCUCACUCUCUCAUCACUUUGCCAAAACCCUGUAUUAAAGAUCUCCUUUCGGGCGCUGGUGCUCUUGUUUACCGCUGAAAAGCACUAAUAUCUCAGAGUGGUAACGAAUCAAAAGCAGCAGUAGCAGCAUGAACCGGUCCGCGCAUCAGGAGAGCCGGCAGCCGCACAGUCUGGCUGCAACGAAACGCCGCGUGGGGGCCGGGACCAUGGACAGCGGCGCAGGGUCGGGCUCCUCGCACUACAAAACAACCCGUAGCAAGCGACACCUGGAGGGGGUCCUGAAGAAAUACACCAACCUGCUCCAGGGCUGGCAGAGCAGAUACUUUGUACUGGACCCAGAGCUUGGUCAGCUCCAGUAUUAUUUGAAUGAACUCAAUAAAAGCCAGCGACCUCCCAGAGGGUCUCUUCCUCUCCUUGGGGCAAUGGUGGUUUCGAGUGAUGAGUUUCCCUACAUGUUUACUGUUCAGUCCACUACUGGGGAUUCUUACAAACUUAGAGCACUGGAUGUCCAGGAGCAAGAGUUAUGGAUGACUCAGCUACAGCUGUGUUCCCGAUGCAACUCUGAUAGCAACGCCAAGGUGAUAAGCCAGGCUGAAGGGCAACAGAAGACCCUGGUCAACUCUAUCGAGUCCCUAUCCCCCCAAGGUGGACCCUUCUCUUCUUUGGAUGAGGACCUACUCCUUUUAAAGGCCACUUCUGCAGCCACUUUGAGCUGCCUGGGGGACUGCCUCACUAUGCUACAGCACAACGUUGUCCAGGCCUUCAACCAGAACCAAAACCAGAACCAGAACCACAUCUCUAGUCCAAGCCCCAGCCACAGUUCAGCUGGUUUUAUUCAGGCAUCUCCCACAGGAAGAGUCAAAUCAUGGAGUCAGAACUGCAGCUCAAGCAUGAACCAGUUGGGGCAUGGUGGCCUUAGGUCUGGCAGUCUAAGCCCGACUCACAGCUUUAGUGAGAGCCGAAGUCCAAAACACAGCAACUACAGUGGAAGACGAGGACAUGGCCAGAACCAGAGCCAGAACCAUGCACAUGCAGAUAGUUCUACUGGAUUGUCCAGAUCUUCUGAAAAGCAGGGGGAAAAUGGUGCACAAACACCUCUCUCGUCCUCUAACUGGUCUUCUUUCACUCAAACACACAAGGACCUGGAAUCCUCAUCUGAGGGACAGCAAUGGGACCAGACUUACUGCCCAGAAACCCUGGAUCCAAGCGAUGAGACCACAGACACAGAGGUUAAUGAGGAAGAGGACCUGGGAGUUCUGGAUGACCAGCGAAGCAUCAUCAUUCACCUCCUGUCCCAACUCAAACUGGGCAUGGACCUCACACGGGUGGUGCUCCCAACCUUCAUCCUGGAGAAGCGCUCGUUGCUAGAGAUGUAUGCCAACUUCAUGGCUCAUCCCGACAUGUUCUUAUCCAUCACGUCUGGCUGCACGGCGGAGGAGCGCAUUGUUCGCUUUGUCGAGUACUACCUGACUGCCUUCCAUGAGGGCCGGAAGGGAGCUGUGGCCAAAAAGCCCUACAACCCCAUACUGGGCGAGAACCUCCACUGUUCCUGGUAUGUGCCUCGGGGUCAUGUUCGAUCUCUCAGGACUACCAACUGUACUGGUGCUAACUCAACACCCGCAGCCACUACCAUUCCUGGGUCCCCGCAGAGGGGGACAGACAGUAGCAGCAGAAGAAACUCAGACUGCUAUCGUGUUAGGUUCGUGGCAGAGCAGGUGUCCCACCACCCUCCUGUAUCUGGCUUCUACUGCGAGUGCAAGGAGAAGAGGAUGUGUGUCAACACUCACAUCUGGACCAAAAGCAAGUUCAUGGGCAUGUCUGUUGGCGUCUCCAUGGUCGGGGAAGGUGUUCUAUAUUUGUUGGAGCACGAUGAGGAGUAUGUGUUCACACUGCCUUGUGCCUAUGCACGUUCCAUCCUGACUGUGCCAUGGGUGGAACUUGGGGGAAAGGUCACCAUCAACUGUGCCAAGAGUGGGUACUCUGCCACUGUCACUUUCCACACCAAACCCUUCUAUGGAGGAAAAGUACACAGAGUAACAGCAGAGGUGAAACACAACCAAUCAGGAAACAUUGUGUGUAAGGCCCAGGGGGAGUGGAACGGGAUGCUGGAGUUCACCUACAGCAACGGGGAAAACAAGGUGAUUGAUACCUCCAAGCUGCCAAUCAUCAAGAAGAAGAUCCGGCCUUUAGAGAAGCAGGGCCAGUAUGAGUCACGGCGUCUUUGGCAGCAUGUAACAGCGUCACUGAAGGCAGGAAAUAUUGACACAGCCACAGAACACAAACACCGCCUAGAGGAGAGACAGCGCAGCGAAGGAAAACAGAGAGAGGCCACCAAGACCCCCUGGAAACCCAAAUAUUUUAUUAAAGAGGGUGACGGCUGGGUGUACCACAACCCUCUAUGGAAAGCUCACUGACCAGGAACCUUGGAAGCAGCUGUUGACUCCCAGACAACUAGUGGGGCGUUAAGGGCCAAGGGCUGGCCAACAAAGACACGGGGAGGGAGAGAAAGAGGGAGGGAGGGAGAAAAAGUUAAGUUUUUAAAACAAUAAUUUAUUCAGAUAAAAUUGAUUCUACAUUUACAAUGUUUUACAACAAAGACAAUCACAGACAACAAUAUGAAACCAAAAAUAAAUCAAUUCAAUUAAUUUAAAGAAUGUGUGUGAAUGUGUAUGAAUGCGUUAGUUUCUGUUCUAUGGCCAUCACUGAGUGAAUGUGUGUGUGAAGGGGGGGAUGUGGCAUGUAGCGUAAAAGUGCUUUGAGUGGUCGGAAAACUAGAAAGGCGCUAUAGUACAGGUCCAUUUACCCCCCCCCAGAUCUCUCUCUCUCACCCCAACUGGUCGAGACAGACGACCACCCACCUAGAGCCGAAGGAUCUGUCCUAGGUUUCUGCCUUUUAACAGGCAGUUUUUCCUUGCCCUUGUCGCCAAGUGCUUGCUCAUGGUGGUACUGUUGAGUCUCUGUAAUUAAUGUUAAAAAGUUCGGUCUAGACCUGCUCUAUUUGAAAAGUGUCCUGAGAUAACUUCUGUUAUGAAUUGGCGCUAUACAAAUAAAAUUGAAUUGAAUUUAAUUGAAUUGAAUUGGAGUAAAAUGUGCUGCCCAGUGUCAGAAAGCUUGGUCUCAUGGGUCGUCCAACACGAUAAUGACCCAAAACACACAGCUAAAAUUACCCAAAAAUGGCUAAGAGCAAAACAUUGGACUAUUCUGAAGUGGCCUUCUAUUAUCCCUGAUCUAAAUCCUCUUGAACAUCUGUGGAAUGAGCUGAAACAUGCAGUCUGGAAGGCACCCUUCAAACCUGAGACAGCUGGAGCAGUUUGCUCCUGAGGCAAUCAAGCGAUUUCUGUAACUCUCAAUGAGACUUAUAUCACUGAGAGUUACAGAAAUCGCUUGUUGCAGUGAUUGCCUCAAAAGGUUGUGCAACAAAAUAUUAAGUUCAGGGUACCAGGGUGUCCAGACCAGUUUCAUUAGUUUGUUUUUUGAAAUGGUUCUGUUGAACCACAAUUCAAAAGCAAUGUCUCAUUUUUAUUAGUUCAUUUUCAGUAGAUUUUUAUUUAUUACUUUUGUCAGUUUCAAGUUAUUUCAGUGACCAUUGUGGGUUUUUCUUUCUUUAACUGAAGUACCAACAAUUUUGUCCACGUGUGUACUUUACUGCACCUUAGUGGAAUUUUGUGUAAGUGCACUCUUAAUGCUAAAAUAAGCAAUCCUGAAGUAUAGUAACCAGUAAUAGUUUGAUCUUCAGCAUCUCAGCUCUAAAAACAUUUUUUCUCUAUUGUCAAUCUCUUGUAGAAGCAAUCUUCACUGUAGUGGUUUUACUGCACUGCAGUGUCAUCAUAUAGCAUAGAUUAGACCAUUUUACCAUAUAGUCAACAAACCUAUGUCUAACACUUGACUGUAGACAGUCGUCUCUAGGGGGGACAGGCCUAGGACUGAACAAUCUCUGUAUUUGUUUAAAAUAAAUAUAUCUUAUCAAA
Dicentrarchus labrax (European seabass) is the source of this 4041-nucleotide RNA transcript. It is a transcript of the gene named oxysterol-binding protein-related protein 11-like, with no coding region annotated. NCBI's taxonomy places the organism in Eukaryota, Metazoa, Chordata, Actinopteri, Moronidae. The record is from RefSeq and is a predicted model, not a curated record. The transcript is spliced from 13 exons.